CGCCAAUCGCCGGAGAAUCGCCGAUCCACGCCAUGAGUUCCGACGAGCUUCUCGAGAUCGAGCCCCCCGAGCUCAAAUUUCCCUUCGAGCUGAAGAAGCAGAUCUCUUGCUCGCUCCACCUCGUCAACAAGACGGAUCAACACGUCGCUUUCAAGGUGAAGACGACGAGCCCGAAGAAGUACUGCGUGCGUCCGAACAACGGCAUCGUGCUGCCCCGUUCUACAUGCGAUGUCAUUGUGACUAUGCAAGCGCAGCGGGAGGCGCCUCCUGACAUGCAGUGCAAGGACAAGUUCCUUGUGCAGAGUGUGAUUGUGGAUCUGCCUGCGGCAGAUGCAAAGGAGAUAACUCCGGAGAUGUUUUCGAAGGAGUCAGGUAAUAUUGUGCACGAGGUUAAGUUGAGAGUGACAUAUGUGCCACCCCCUCAGCCGCCCUCGCCGGUUCGUGAGGGUUCUG
RNAcentral lists this unclassified non-coding RNA (453 nucleotides) under Hevea brasiliensis (rubber tree). The record is from RNAcentral. Lineage: Eukaryota; Viridiplantae; Streptophyta; Magnoliopsida; Malpighiales; Euphorbiaceae.